GCCUCUGUGGCCUAAUGGAUAAGGCAUCGGUCUCCUAAACCGGGGAUUGUGGGUUCGAGUCCCACCACAGGUA
RNAcentral lists this transfer RNA (73 nucleotides) under Schistocerca americana (American grasshopper). RNAcentral's name for it is "tRNA-Arg". It matches the Rfam family "tRNA". Rfam says of the family: Transfer RNA (tRNA) molecules are approximately 80 nucleotides in length. Lineage: Eukaryota; Metazoa; Arthropoda; Insecta; Orthoptera; Acrididae. The record is from RNAcentral.